UAGCCACGGUAAUACCAGCCCCGCGAGUGGUCGGGACGUUUAUUGGGCCUAAAGCGCCCGUAGCCCGGCCCCGGUAAGUCACCCCUUAAAGGACCCAGGCUCAAACCUGGGGAGUGGGGGUGAUACUGCCGGGGCUAGGGGGGCGGGAGAGGCCCAGGGGGUACUCCCCGGAGUAGGGGGCGAAAUCCGUAGAUCCCGGGAGGACCACCAGUGGCGAAGGC
Molecule: ribosomal RNA, 221 nt
Filed under: uncultured archaeon
Lineage: Archaea
Description: partial 16S ribosomal RNA
Rfam family: Archaeal small subunit ribosomal RNA
Source: RNAcentral